RNAcentral lists this ribosomal RNA (253 nucleotides) under uncultured bacterium. RNAcentral's name for it is "partial 16S ribosomal RNA". It matches the Rfam family "Bacterial small subunit ribosomal RNA", at positions 524 to 776 of the family's 1533-position model. The record is from RNAcentral.
UACGUAGGUCGCAAGCGUUGUCCGGAUUUACUGGGCGUAAAGAGCGCGCAGGCGGCUGGUCACGUCCGAUGUGAAAUCUCCCGGCUCAACUGGGAAACUGCAUCGGAAACUGACCGGCUUGAAGAUGGGAGAGGGUAGUGGAAUUCCCGGUGUAGUGGUGAAAUGCGUAGAUAUCGGGAGGAACACCAGUGGCGAAGGCGACUACCUGGCCCAUUCUUGACGCUGAGGCGCGAAAGCUAGGGGAGCGAACGGG